UAAGGGAAUUAUUGGGGGAGAUUGCUUAUAUCUUCAAUGUGACUUCAAGUCUAUCUUUUUAUACUUUAUUUGCAUUUAUUAGUGUUUAAUCCCACAGAAUGAUCCCAUUCUCCUAUUUUAAGUGUUCUAAUUCCCGCACACAAUUCCUCUACCUAUAGGUUCUAAAUUUAUAAUUGUAGGUUGAAAGAAUGGUUUUGUUCAUUCAACCCUAAGCAUUCAGUGGUUGCUACAUUCUUCAUGUUACAUUUUCUCAGUUCCUUAUGUUGGUUAACGUCUUACUGAUUAGGCUGAGAACUAGAAUUUCCAUCACAGUAGUACUCAUGCUGAGUAGUCACUGCUUAUUGAUUUGUCUGGUGGAAAACCUGAAGGUAGGACCUGUAUCAGUCAGGGUCUUAGCAGGGAACCCCUGUUUAAUCAAGUUAGGGCUUAAUGGGAGAUAAUUUUCUUUCCAGAGGUACAGGCAGGGUUAAUCACUCCAAUAAGGGAUGUUGAAGUAUCCAGGGUUUCGCUACAGUGGGAAGCUAUUAUUGCCCCUAGGCCUGAAGGUCGAUGACAAGGAAGUUACUAGAAUCUGGCAAGUGAUGGAGUGGAGCUAUAGCCAAGGGGCUGCCUGAGAGGAGCAGUGGCCAAAUGUGAUUGAGAAUUGCUGGUGAAAUGAUUCACCAACCACAGGAAGAGGCUGACCAUCAUAGACCACAUUUCAAUGACUUAUGUUUCAUUAAUGAGUCAUCAUCAAUUUCUCUUUCAUUUUGAUAGCCCCCUCUUAGGAUUCAGGUUUUGAGGUAACUCUUCUACUAGACAACAUUUUAAAGUAGUAACUAUUUUUCUCAUUGCUAUUAACCAAGCCACACAUUAAUGCCGAGCUUCUGUUAAGUAAAAAAUAACUAGGGAUACCAGACUGAGUUUUUCAGCCCAGUCAGAAGAAAAGCAAUUUGACAUACUGUUACCCUUUGCAGUCUUAGCAAGAGAAAGACAAUGCGCUUGUUUAUUGUCUAAAUUAGCACUUUGCCCCUGAUACUCCUCAAAGCUGAAAGACCCUCUAAGAUCAAGAACUGAUGAAGGCUAUAGAAAAAUGUGCUGCUCAAAAGGAGAUUUCCAUCUCGAAAAGGCAAAUUACUGGGAAAAAUGAAUCUGUUUUCUCUGCCAAGCAUUGGAGACAUAGAAGGAGACUGCCUCCUGCUGGGGUCAGUAUUUUCUGCAUCCCAUGAACGGAAGUGAGAACAGCCUUGGGAGCUAAUGCCGAAGGUGGGAGAAUCUGAUGCCCUCAGUCUCCAGUGAACUAAAGCUGAAGAAGACUCAGAUUUCUGACACAAUGGUAACACCUAUCCCUUCUGCCUGUGACUGCCAGGGCUUGCUGUAUGAUGAUAAGAAGAGAAUGUGACACAGAGGAAGGGGAAAAAGUCCAUCCCUCUGGUAGUAGGGGGUUGUGGAAUGGGAGGGAAAAAGGGAGAAGGAGAAGUAGAAAAUACUCAUAUCUAAAUGUCUUCAUGUCUUCUGCUUGACUUUAGCCAGGAAUGAGUGUUAGGAAAGAGGGGAUGCUCUAGAAGAGGAAGCUAUGGAGUCUUAUUUGGGUCUAUGUAAAUAGCCCAACCACAGGCCCUUCUGCCCAAUCUAGGGCAGACCCAUACCAGAGUUUAACGUGGCAACAAAGUGUGGUUAGACAGAAGUUAGGCAUGGAGUUUAGCUUUUCAAGGCAGCUUUCCAUCACUACAAGGCCAAGGCAGAAAUUAAAUAUCUCAUUUCCUUUUUGCAGGGUAGAGCAAGCAGGGCAAAGGGGAAUGACUGAGCAAUCAGGUGACUUGAGAGCCAAAUAACAUUCCCAUUCACAGGGUCUGAAUUGGUGAAAUGUAUCAAGAUCUUCAGCUUGAGAUGGACCAUCAGAGCAGGAGGCCAGAAGAGAGACAUGGGGUUUGUUGUGAUAACUAGAGCUAAAGUGAGCUAAGUGAUCAGUAGAGCAACACUGGGCUCUGGCCAACCAAAAUAAACCAGACCAUGAGCUCCACCAGAUAAGGCCCUCUGCUACAAGUACAGUAGGUGAGCAGCACCCAGGCAGAGAGAGGCAUUGUCAGGAAGACUGAAGGAAAGAGGAGCAUCACAAGUGAUGAGGAGCUGAUCUUCACCUAGGCAAGGAGGUGGGAAAGUCUUCCUUCCCCCAGAUGCCCUGGGAGAGAAUUGGGGAACAGGAAGACUCUGGGAAACUGAGCAUUUCUUUUUAUCAAAAGAUAAAGAGCACAAGGAUUAUUUACAUCAUUGUAAUAACCUACAUUUUUUAGGCAUAAUUUUAGAAACAUAUCUUGGCUGCAUAUAUGUGAGAUUGCUUACAUUUUUAAACAUUACAAUUGCUUAUUAAAUAAAAGAAGGACCCAAAUAAGAAAGAAGAGAAAAAAUAAGCAAGAUGCUUAAAAUGACUUAUCUCCUUCAACAGUAGAGUUCUCCAGCAAGAGAAAUACUAAAACCUAAGCUGUUGCUUUAGCACUAAGAUUAAGGUUCCUUCCCAAGUGUUAGUCCCAGUAAAGAAGGGUAUGAGAAAAAAUUGUGAAGUGCAUGCAAUUUGUUGUUACUUCUUUCAUGAUUCAACAUUCUACUAAGCUACCUGAUUUACCCUGGUUUUGUUGUUGUUAUUGUUGUUUUUAGCCAUUACAAAUACUUUGCUCUCAGGGAAGACUCAGAUAUUAAUUAUAAAUCUCAGGGUGAGUUUAUUAAUGCUAAAUGAUGAACAGUGUUAUAUUGAAAGAUAUUUCAAAAACAACCAAAUCUAGUUUCCAUAGCAACUAUUUUGUAUAUGGAAGAGACACAGAAAUUAAAGAAAAAAGACCUACCACUUACUGUGUGACCUUGACCUCUUUGAUAAUGUUUCUUCAUUUGUGAAAUAAUGAAAAACUAAUCAUUACUCUACCAACUCUCUUCCUUUUUAUGAAGAUUGAAACCACAUUAGUGAAAGUGCUUUGUGGUCUUUGAAGAAUAUAGUUAUAAUUGUUAUGUCAAAGACCAAAAGAGAUAUUCAGGACUCAAGGCAGGCCUUCAGGGUUUCCCUGAGAUAGCACUGUGGGCAUUGUUUCAUGAUCUUUUACUAUAUGAGAAGUAGAGAAAGGAAGAGAGUUCUAAAUGUUCAUAUACUGUGGUCAUAAAAUGCUUAAAUUACUCCCUCCUAAUCCACUUCUAAGAUAAAUAUUGGUGAGGAGCCAGGAUAGGCACUUUUUUUGUUAUUUACAAUCGUGGGGAAGGAGUUGAGUUGAAAUCAAAGCCUUUAGUAAUUUAAUAUAAUGGUGUAUAGGAUCUGAGUGCCCUACUGCCUCCUAGCAAUAAAAAGUUUGACUUCUAGAGUCAAGAACUUCUGUUUUUGCUAGUCUCCCCAAAAUUGUCACUCUGUGAAUAUACACAUUUUCUGUUCACAGUAGUAGGGAUGUGGAUUUUUUGCUUAUCAUGCUAGUUACUCCCUUGAAAAACUGAGUGGUAUUUAUAUGAUUGAUAAGCUUAUAUACCACAUAAAACCCAUGCUCCAGCUUGAACAGUUAUGGAUGGGUAAUGAUAUGUCUUGGUUUGCUGAAAAUAUAAUUACAAAGUAAUUAUUAAUGACUUACCUUUCAGUCUCAAAAAUGUUCCAGUUCCAACAAUUAAUUAUAUAAUCAUUUUACUUAUACCUAUAUGCGAACCAGAAUUGGGACACAUGGGCACCCUCGAUAAAACCCAGAUUUAAUCAACUGCAAAAAUCUUCCUCAGAAAAAGAAAAAUUCAAAGUUUCAAGAACUAGAACUUCAUGUUAAUUUUUAACGAAUAGCUCUGACGUUGGUGACCUAUUUCAGAAAUAUUGUAGCAAUUUAAAAGAGUAAUACAGAAUAACAACUUUUGCUACUUUGUGGAUCAUACAAGCUAGUAUAAGAUUAGAAAGAGAAAAGAUCAGUGUAAUUGAUUUGAUAGAAUCAUAAAAAUUACUCUUAGCAGAAUUAGGGUGAAUGAAGUCUAUCUUCGAUAACUAGAUAAUAUUUAAAUAGUAAUCAUUUCAGACAUUUUGAGUGUCAUUUUGUAAAACUGGGUCCAUCUUGAUGAAGGUUCCAAGUCAUUUGAAAAGAAUAUAUAUCAUUUCAUCAUUGAAUAUAAUCUUCAGUUAACGUCAAUUAGCUCAAGUUGGUUGGUAAUGUUGUAUUAUUCAGGUCUAGUAUAUCCUCAUUAAUUUUCUUUCUACUUCUUCUAUCAAGUACCGACAGAAGAUAUGAGAGUGUUGAAUUCACUCUCAUGGUAUGAGACAUGAGAGUGUUGAAUUCAUUCUCACGGUGUUGAAUUCAUUUGAUAGAAUUCAGUACUUCUAUCAAGUACUGAUAUGAGAGUGUUCAAUGAACUCUAUCACCCUGCAGUGAUAUAGAACAAUAUAACUUAUUCCGCCUAUCUAGCUGUAAUUUUGUAUCCAUUAAUCAACCUCUCCCUAUAUCCCAUUUUCCCCAACCCUUACCAGCCUCUAGUGAGCAUUCUACUCUCCAUUUUUAUGAGAUCAACUUAUUUAGCUUCCAAAAAUGAGUGAGAAUAUGCGAUAUUUAUCAUUUUGUAUCUGGCUUAUUUCACUUCAUAUAAUAUUCUUCAAACUCCUCCAUGAUGCCACAAAUGACAGGACUCUUUUUUUAGCUUAGAGUCUAUUUUAUCUGAUGUAAGUUUAGCUACUGAUCACUUUUGGUUUUCCAUUGCAUGGAAUAUCUUUUUCCACCCCUUAACUUUAAAUCUAUGUGUGUUUUUAAAGGUGAAGUGAGUUUUUUAUAGGAAGCAUAUAGUUGGGUGUUGUUUUUUUAAUCCAUUCAUUUCAAAAAAUCCAUCCUUUUUUUAAUCCAAAUGGUUUUUUAAGCCAUUUUAUAUCUUUUAAUUGGGGAAUUUAACCCAUUUAUAUUCAAGGUUACUAUUGAUAGCUGAGGUCUUACUCCUCUCAAUUUGUUAAUUGCUUUCUUAUUGUUUUGUGAAUCCUUUCUUUCUUCCUCUAGUAUUGUAUAUCCUUUUGGUUGGAUGUAUUUCUGUAGUGGUAAGUUAGAUACCUUUCUUCUGCUCAUUAGUGUAUCCAUUCUACCAGUGAGUUUUAUAUUCUCAUCUGUGUUCUUAUCCUUUCACUUCCAGAUGUGGGAUUCCCUGAAGUAUUUCUUGUAAGAUCUGUCUAGUGGUGAUACAUUUCCUGUUUUUGCUUGUCCAGGAAAUACUUUAUUUAGCCUUCAUUUUUAAAGAAUAGCUUUUCUGGGGGUAGUAUUCUUGGCCAGCAAAGGUUUUUUCAGCACCUUGAAUAUGUUGUCCCAUCCUCUCCUGGUGUGCAAGUUUUCUGCUGAGAAACAGUUGUUAGUCUAAUGGAGAUUUACUUAUAUGUGACUUAAGGCUUUUCUCUAUUUUUAAAAUUCUUUCUUUGUCUUUGCCUUUUGACAGUAAAAUCCCAAUAGGCCUUGGAGAGGAGCUUUUUGGAUUAAGUAUAUUUGGAGACUUUGAGAGCUAGAUAUCCUAGAUAACAUGGAUCUAGAUAUCCAUUUCUCUCUGAAGACAUGGGAAGUUUUCAGCUGUUAUUUUCUUAAAUAUGGUCACUAUGCCUCUUCUCAUUUCUUCUACUUCUGCAACUCUCAGAUUCAUAUAUUUCAUUAAAGCUACUUAAUGGUGUCCCAUAAAUCCUAUAGGCUUUGUGAAAGAAAAAUAAACCUUGGGACCCUAAAAUCCCUAAGCCAGAAGGAAAAGUCAAUCUGGGAACUGCAAGGGCAAACAUACCUUUCAUUCUACUCCUAAAUAAGAUAGCUACAUUUUUUUUUAAAGCUACAUACCUCCCUCACAAUUUGCCCAUAAGGAAAUUCCUUGCGAACAAAGGACAGAUAGAACUCAAAGUCAUCCCUCUGCUCAUGUGGGACAAAUGCCUAUCUGAUUGCUUCCUUUCCCUAUUGUUUCACUAAGCCAGACUAAGGCAUAAGUGACUAUUCAUGUAAAUUGUGUAUUUAGUAAAAGACUAAUCAGAAACUCAAAAUAACGCAUCUAUUUGUCUUUUAUCUACUUAUGACCUGGAAGCCGCCUCCCUGCUUCAAGUUGUCCUGCCUUUCCCGACGGAACCAAUGUACAUCUUACAUAUACUGAUUGAUAUCUCAUGUCUCCCUAAAAUGUAUAAAACCAAGCUGUGCCCUGACAACCUUGGGCAAUGUCAUCAGGCCCUCCUGAGGCUGUGUCAUAGGCAUGUCCUUAACCUUAGCAAAAUAAACUUUCUAAAUUGAU
Homo sapiens (human) is the source of this 6213-nucleotide long non-coding RNA. RefSeq lists it as uncharacterized. The transcript has 4 exons. Lineage: Eukaryota; Metazoa; Chordata; Mammalia; Primates; Hominidae. The record is from RefSeq and is a predicted model, not a curated record.